RNAcentral lists this ribosomal RNA (342 nucleotides) under uncultured bacterium. Its description in RNAcentral is "bacterial SSU rRNA". It matches the Rfam family "Bacterial small subunit ribosomal RNA", at positions 8 to 334 of the family's 1533-position model. The record is from RNAcentral.
AGAGUUCGAUUAUGGCUCAGGAUGAACGCUGGCGGCGUGCUUAACACAUGCAAGUCGAGCGAAGCGGCUGAAUUGAUUCUUCGGAUGAUUUUCAGUUGACUGAGCGGCGGACGGGUGAGUAACGCGUGGGUGACCUGCCCCAUACCGGGGGAUAACAGCUGGAAACGGCUGCUAAUACCGCAUAAGCGCACAGAGCUGCAUGGCUCGGUGUGAAAAACUCCGGUGGUAUGGGAUGGGCCCGCGUCUGAUUAGGCAGUUGGCGGGGUAACGGCCCACCAAACCGACGAUCAGUAGCCGGCCUGAGAGGGCGACCGGCCACAUUGGGACUGAGACACGGCCCAA